AUUGAACGCUGGCGGCAUGCCUUACACAUGCAAGUCGAACGGCAGCACGGAGCUUGCUCUGGUGGCGAGUGGCGAACGGGUGAGUAAUAUAUCGGAACGUACCCUAGAGUGGGGGAUAACGUAGCGAAAGUUACGCUAAUACCGCAUACGAUCUAAGGAUGAAAGUGGGGGAUCGCAAGACCUCAUGCUCGUGGAGCGGCCGAUAUCUGAUUAGCUAGUUGGUAGGGUAAAAGCCUACCAAGGCAUCGAUCAGUAGCUGGUCUGAGAGGACGACCAGCCACACUGGAACUGAGACACGGUCCAGACUCCUACGGGAGGCAGCAGUGGGGAAUUUUGGACAAUGGGCGAAAGCCUGAUCCAGCAAUGCCGCGUGAGUGAAGAAGGCCUUCGGGUUGUAAAGCUCUUUUGUCAGGGAAGAAACGGUGAAAGCUAAUAUCUUUUGCUAAUGACGGUACCUGAAGAAUAAGCACCGGCUAACUACGUGCCAGCAGCCGCGGUAAUACGUAGGGUGCAAGCGUUAAUCGGAAUUACUGGGCGUAAAGCGUGCGCAGGCGGUUUUGUAAGUCUGAUGUGAAAUCCCCGGGCUCAACCUGGGAAUUGCAUUGGAGACUGCAAGGCUAGAAUCUGGCAGAGGGGGGUAGAAUUCCACGUGUAGCAGUGAAAUGCGUAGAUAUGUGGAGGAACACCGAUGGCGAAGGCAGCCCCCUGGGUCAAGAUUGACGCUCAUGCACGAAAGCGUGGGGAGCAAACAGGAUUAGAUACCCUGGUAGUCCACGCCCUAAACGAUGUCUACUAGUUGUCGGGUCUUAAUUGACUUGGUAACGCAGCUAACGCGUGAAGUAGACCGCCUGGGGAGUACGGUCGCAAGAUUAAAACUCAAAGGAAUUGACGGGGACCCGCACAAGCGGUGGAUGAUGUGGAUUAAUUCGAUGCAACGCGAAAAACCUUACCUACCCUUGACAUGGCUGGAAUCCUUGAGAGAUCAGGGAGUGCUCGAAAGAGAACCAGUACACAGGUGCUGCAUGGCUGUCGUCAGCUCGUGUCGUGAGACGUUGGGUUAAGUCCCGCAACGAGCGCAACCCUUGUCAUUAGUUGCUACGAAAGGGCACUCUAAUGAGACUGCCGGUGACAAACCGGAGGAAGGUGGGGAUGACGUCAAGUCCUCAUGGCCCUUAUGGGUAGGGCUUCACACGUCAUACAAUGGUACAUACAGAGCGCCGCCAACCCGCGAGGGGGAGCUAAUCGCAGAAAGUGUAUCGUAGUCCGGAUUGUAGUCUGCAACUCGACUGCAUGAAGUUGGAAUCGCUAGUAAUCGCGGAUCAGCAUGUCGCGGUGAAUACGUUCCCGGGUCU
Molecule: ribosomal RNA, 1352 nt
Filed under: uncultured bacterium
Lineage: Bacteria
Description: bacterial SSU rRNA
Rfam family: Bacterial small subunit ribosomal RNA
Source: RNAcentral